This 338-nucleotide unclassified non-coding RNA is filed under the name soil metagenome. Its description in RNAcentral is "partial contains 5.8S ribosomal RNA, internal transcribed spacer 2, and large subunit ribosomal RNA". The stretch from base 1 to 119 matches the Rfam family "5.8S ribosomal RNA", at positions 35 to 154 of the family's 154-position model. The record is from RNAcentral.
GAUGAAGACGCAGUGAAAUGCGAUAAGUAAUGCGAAUUGCAGAAUUCCGUGAGUCAUCGAAUCUUUGAACGCACAUUGCGCCCUCUGGUAUUCCGGAGGGCAUGCCUGUCUGAGCGUCAUUGUCAACCCUCAAGCUCAGCUUGCUGUUGGGUCCCCGUCGUUGCUUUAACGGCGGACCCGAAAGGUAAUGGCAGAGUCCGUGAGACCCUAGACGCAGCGAGCUUCUAGCACGCGUCUGGACGUUUUUCGGGCUCGGUCUUAACUAGAUGAUAACUUCCGAUUGACCUCAGAUCAGGUAGGGAUACCCGCUGAACUUAAGCAUAUCAAUAAGCGGAGGA